GUGCUCACUGCAGCAGUACAUAUCUUCAAAGUGGAAAGAUACAGAGAAUACUGACAUGGUGCUGCACAAGGAUGGUACUGCACAAGUUCAUAAUUGAACCUUUUCC
Small nuclear RNA from Cricetulus griseus (Chinese hamster), 106 nucleotides. The record is from Ensembl. NCBI's taxonomy places the organism in Eukaryota, Metazoa, Chordata, Mammalia, Rodentia, Cricetidae.